This is an RNA transcript of Acyrthosiphon pisum (pea aphid), 3480 nucleotides long. It is a transcript of the gene named Serine-arginine repetitive matrix 1, with no coding region annotated. The record is from RefSeq and is a predicted model, not a curated record. Lineage: Eukaryota; Metazoa; Arthropoda; Insecta; Hemiptera; Aphididae. The transcript has 20 exons.
AACCGCGACCAAUCAGGAUGAUCCAAUUUCUUUUCACCAUUGUUUUCCGCCGUGUGAGGUGCCGUCGUGCCGAACUCUACCGUCUGCCGAGCGUCCGGGGCACGCCGAACUGUGUCUGUUUGUAUGAUUUUUGUAAUAAUAUUUUAAUAUUAUUGUAGUCGGCGUUUUUUGUUUUUUUUACCGUCCUGAGUGUUGUAAUAUCAUAUUCUGACCCGUUGGUUCUAGAACCGGAAUCAAGAUGUAUACGGGUACUAGUGCUGACCAGGAUACUAGAUUCAGUGACAAAGAAAAAAAGCUUUUGAAACAAAUGAAAUUUAGUGAAUCUUUAAACGCUAAGGUUGAUAUGAAUAAAGUAAAACUAGAUACUAUCAAACCUUGGAUUGGUAAAAGAAUAACAGAAUUGCUAGGAAUGGAAGAUGAUGUUGUAGAAGAAUUUGUGAACAAUCAGCUUGAAGCCGAUACUUGGCCUGAUCCAAGAAAAAUGCAAAUAAAUCUCACUGGUUUCUUGAAUGGCAAAAAUGCUCGAGUAUUUAUGACGGAUUUGUGGGAAUUACUUUUGUCUGCACAGGAAUCUCCAUCGGGAAUCCCCCCUAAAUUUAUUGAGCAAAAAAAAGAAGAGUUAAAAAAGAAAAUGGAAGAUCAAGAGCGUGUGGGAGAUAUGAUUAAGAAGUUUGAAAAAGAUAAAGAAGAUAGAGAAAAAGAAAGAAAAAAAGAUAGAGAAAGGAGGAAAAGUCGUAGUAGAUCACAUACACGAGAUCGUCGUAGCAGAUCUAGAGAUCGCCAUCGUGAUAAACGUGAUAAAGAAAAAGAAAGAGAUAAAUAUAAAGAUCAUGAUUCAGAUAAAGUACGAGAAAAACAUACAAAAAGAGAUUCUCGUUCAAAGUCAAAAGGAAAACUUGUGAGUAAUGGACAUACUUCACCGACUAAAAAAGAAAAAAGUCGUAGUUGUUCACCUAAAAAUGAUAUUACCUCAACUGAGGAAAAAACUACUAAUCCAAAGACUUCAGUUUCGCCUGCUAAAGACAAAGUUGUAGAAACAAAUAAUAAACCUAAACCUAAAGAACGAUCAUUAUCUAGAGAUUCUACUAAACGCAGGGAGAAAAAACGGCAUCAUUCUUCUUCAUCAAGUCGUAGUUCAUCAUCGUCUAAUUCUUCUUUAAGCCCUGACCGUAAAAAAGAUUUUGAAAUUCAGAAAAAAGAAAACAGUAUCCAAAAAAAAAGACAAUACCGAACAAAUAAAGAUGAAUCGUCUGGAAGUGAAUCGGACAAAGAUAAAUCUACAGAUAGAAGAGAUCGACGUGAUCGUUCAUCUUCUCGAUCGAGGCGUCCAUCUAGACAUGCUUUUAAUCGUGGCCGAUAUCGUGAAAAAAGUCGUGAUCGUUAUUAUAGAGAUAGAGAAAGGGAAAGGGCAAGAGAAAGAGAACGUAAUCGCCGUGAUCGUGAACGGGAACGUAGAGAUAGAGAAAGAGCAAUUCGUGAAAGGGAUCGUGAACGUGAUAGACGUAGGCAAAGAGAAAGAGAAGAAAAAUCAUCACCUCGAAGAAGGAAAUCCAGAAGUCCUGAAAGAAAAUCUAGAUCAGGCAGCAGACAUACAAGAUCUCGUUCAAAAUCUAAAAGGAGACCAAGUGGAAAAUCACGUAGCAGGGAACGUACUGUUAAGGAUUCUAGUAUUAUUUCUCCCACAAAAAAAGAUAACACUUCAAAAUCAAAGGCUUCUCAAGAAAGUUUAUCUAGAACUCCUUCACCUUUUAAGAAAGUUGAAGACAAAGCAGAACGUAAACCAGUAAAAGAUAGAUUGGGUGUUAGAGAUGAACAACAUUCUAAAUCUUCUCAGCCACAAAGAUCAAAAGGACAAUCUCCUUCAUCGGAAAAGAAAAAUAACACUGAUAAAAAAAAUUCAUCUAGUUCUAGACGAAGGUCAUCAACAUCUCCUGCUAUUAAAAAGAAAGAAGAAGAUAAAACAGAAAAAGUAAAAAAACCUAUGAAGAAAUCUGACACCUCUGAUGCCGAAAACACCAAAAUUAAAAAAAAGGAAGAAUCAAGUUCAUCAGAUGAAUCAUUAAAAAAGUCUAAAAAGAAAGUUAAAAGAGAUUCUAGUUCAGAUGAUGAUAAAGUAAAGGCUAAAAAACGAAAACUCAAGGAUUCUACUUCAUCUGAAGAUGAUGAUUCUAAGAAAAAAAAGAAACGCAAAAAGAGAUCGUCCAGUUCAAGCUCAGAUGAAAGUGACAGAGAUGACAAAAAAAAGAAAAAGGACAAGAAACAUAAAAAACAUAAGAAGCAUAAGAAACACAAAAAACAUAAGAAACGCAAGACUGAAGAAAGUGGUUCUGAUGCCAAAUCUGGAGAUGAGUCGGAACAACGUUUAAGGGAGAAGGCACUGCGUACCAUGAAAAAGAAAAAUCAGGCUAAACAUGACGGAACCCCUAACAGUAAUAGCAGUGAUUAACAAAAGAGGUAAGAAAUUCUUUGUUUUUGUCAUAUCGAUCGUUGUAAUUCUAGCAACGAGAAUUUGACAGGUUAGCCCUACUGUCCAGUCAACAGGCUGACUUGUUGGCAGAGUUAUACUUGCAUCAUUUUCAUAGCGCUGUCUGAUCGUUUUUGAAGCCCCGCAAUUGUUUUCUUUCAAUCAACAUUUUUAAUGAGCAACUACAAUACAUCUAUCAACAUUCAUUCUGCAUUUCUCCUAUCAACAUAUCUGCAAUCAACAUUACUUCUAUCAACACACCCACAAUCAACAUAUCUGCUUUCAACAUAACUUCUGUCAACACAUCCACGUUCAACAUUCCUUCUAUCAACACCAAAUCUUCACUGCAAUCAACAUUUCUCUCAUCAUCAAAUAUAUUUCAGAUCAUUUGAGUGUUCUGUGUUUUCAAACCAUUGAAAACUAUCGCUUCAUCCACUAAUUAUUCAUAUCCGUAUGACUAGUAUGAUCUAGAAUAAGAUGACAUGUGAAUUGUUAAUAUCUUGACCAAUGAGAGUUGCGUUAUGGAUAAAUACAAUAUCUACGACUGCUGUUUGAAAAUGUACCUAGACCAAUUGAAAAUCUACAGUUGAUCUAAAAAGUUUUUGGCUUAUGUCAAAUUAUUCAAUUAAUAUAAUACAAUAUAAUCUUAUUUUGUUUAAAAUAUUUUGUUAUGAGAAAAACUAUUUUAAAUUUAAUUGUUUUGUUUCAGGGCUUAUAGUUAAGAAGAAUUUGAAGUAUUAGUAAUAAUUCUGAAGAAUGGUUCUUAGAAGAUUUCUUUAAUUUUAAUAAUUUUUUUUAAUAAUUUUUCAAUAAUAAACAAUUUAUAACAUUAACGCAAUUAUACACAUCUUACAUAAAUAUAUUAUAUUCAAUUUUUAAAAAUGUAUCAUAAAUUAAAAUACAUUGUUUAAUUUAAUAUUUCACGUAAGCAAUACAACAUAAGUUACAUUAAUUAGUAAUAUGUUAUUAUUAGCUAUUACAAUUAGAUAAAAAAUAAAUAUGACAUAUAUUUUUAC